AUUUCUUACUUUCUUCAUCCCAUAAUUUCCAUUCUCUACUUAAGGCAUUAUUCUCUCUCACUAUUUGUAAAUUUCACUUGUAAUUUUUGGAGUGAAAUAUAUUUGGUAGUGCCCGAGGACGUAGGCAAAAUUUGCUGAACCUCGUUAAAAUUUUAGUGUUCUUUAUUAUUUAUUUUGUAUAUUUUGUGAAUGUGAUUGUAGUGAUUUAUUGUGCUAUUAAAUUACGAUAGAGGGAUAUUCUGGCUAGGAAAGACUUGGUAUUUAAGUGAUCUUCGUGAUCUACCUCUUUUUUCUUGGGAAUUGAACUUAGUGUGAUUUUUCAGUACAAUAUUUUUACUCUUUCACACGCUUUCGCGCAAAAAUUGGUAUCAGAGCCAGAUUCGUACUUGGGGAAUACGACCAUUGAUGGCACUAUUCAUGUAUAUGGCACUAUUCACAUAUAUGGUACUAUUUACGUAUACAGUACUGUUCACGUAUACAGUAGUUGGGAUUGAGGAGAAAAAUGGCAGCAGCAUCGUCAUCAGCAAGGACUACUAUGACAAAUGAAAAAUUUGAAGUAGAGAAAUUUGACGGUACCAAUAAUUUUGGUAUGUGGCAAUGUGAGAUCUUAGAUGUCUUAUGUCAACAAGAGCUAGAUAUAGCCCUUGAAGAAAAACCUAACAAGAUGGAUGACAAGGAGUGGGCCAAGAUCAAUAGACAGGCGUGUGGUACAAUCCGCCUAUGUUUGGCCAAAGAGCAGAAGUACUCUAUCAUGAGGGAGACAUCAGCGAAGAAGUUAUGGGAUACACUGGAAGAAAAGUUUCUAACGAAAAAUCUUGAAAAUAGGCUUUAUAUGAAAAAGAAACUUUAUCGAUUCACGUAUGCACCUGGUAUGUCGAUGAAUGACCAUGUGAACUAAUUCAAUAAAAUUUUAGCAAACUUUUUAAAUUUGGAUGAGAAAUUUGAAGAUGAAGACAAGGCAUUAUUGUUGUUGAAUUCCUUUCCUGAUGAAUACGAUCAUCUUACCACCACAUUACUUCAUGGGAAGGACACGAUCACAUUUGAUGCAGUCUGUAGUGCGUUGUAUAGAUCUGAGACUCGAAAGAAAGAUAAAAGAGAUCACAGAGAUACAACUGCAGAAGUCUUAACAGUAAGAGGUCGUUCACAUAGUAGCAAAUCUGGUAGAAGGGGAAAGUCCAAAGGGAGACCCGCCAAAGAUGAAUGUGCCUUUUACCGUGAAAAAAGGCAUUGGAAAAAGAAUUGUCCUAAGCUACAAAAGGGCAAGGCUAUUUCUAAUGCAUGUGUAGCGGAGCAUGAUGAGGCGUCAGACUUUAGCUUGGUUGGCAUGGCAAUGGCAUGUCAAACGGAUGAGUGGAUUUUGGAUUCAGGAUGUACUUACCAUAAAUGUCCUAAUAAGGACUGGUUUCCUAGUCUUAAAGAGCUAGAAGGUGGAAUUGUUCUUAUGGGCAAUGAUAGUGCUUGUAAGACAAUGGGAGUGGGUACAGUCCAAUUGAAGAAUCACGACGGCUCAAUCCAAGUCUUGACAGAUAUUCGCUACGUACCUAGCCUGAAGAAAAAUCUCAUCUCAUUAGGGGCCCUAGAAUCUAAAGGGCUCACAAUCACUUUGAGAGAUGGAUUACUAAAAGUAGUAGCUGGGCAAUUGACGGUGAUGAAAGGCACAAGAAGAAAUAACUUGUACUUUUUAAAUGGAAGUACAAUUAUUGGAUCAACAUCAACAGUUUUUACAAAAGACGUUCACAGUGAUGUGUGGGGACCUACCAAAGUGGCUUCUUUGGGAGGUAUGCACUAUUUUGUUACUUUUGUUGAUGAUUAUUCAAGAAAAGUAUGGGUGUAUCUAAUGAAAAGAAAAAGUGAAGUUUUGGAUGCAUUUUUGAAAUGGAAAAAGAUGGUGGAGACUCAGACUGGUCGAAAGGUCAAACGACUUCGAUCAGAUAAUGGCACUGAGUACAAAAAUGAUCCAUUUCUACAAGUAUGUCAAGAUGAGGGCAUUGUGUGACACUUCACUGUUCGGGAUACACCACAGCAGAAUGGGGUGGCAGAACGCAUGAAUCGAACUAUACUGGAGAAAGUUCGAUGUAUGUUGUCCAAUGCUGGAUUGGGCAAGGAAUUUUGGGCUGAGGCAGUUACAUAUGCGUGCCAUCUAAUUAAAUGUUUGCCAUCAGCUGCAAUAAAUGAAAAAAACUCCUAUAGAGAUGUGGACUGGUAAAUCUGCUACUGAUUAUGAUUCUUUACAUGUAUUUGGUUCCACUGCAUAUUAUCAUGUAAAAGAAUCUAAGUUAGACCCAAGAGCAAAGAAAGCAUUAUUCUUGGUAUAACUGAUGGAGUAAAAGGAUACCGUCUUUGGUGUCCUGAUACAAGGAAGAUUGUUUUCAGUAGAGAUGUCACUUUUGAUGAAUCAACCAUGUUAAAGUACAAGGAUUCACAAAAGGAUGACAAAACCAGUAGUACUUUGCAGUAGGUAGAGCUUGAAAAGGUUAACGAUGAUCCAGCUAAUAUUGAAGAGACAAAUGAUGAAGAGGUUCCUACCCAAGAACCUCUACAGCAACAAGGUUCAAUUGCAUAUAGGAGGCCAAGAAAAGAGAUUCGUAAGCCUGCUCACUUUGAUGAUAUAGUGGCCUAUGCACUUCCAAUUGCAGAUGAUGAUAUUCCUUCUACUUACACAGAAGCAAUAAGUAACCUUGAUGGUGUAAAGUGGAAGCAAGCAAUGAAUGAAGAAAUGCAGUCUCUUCAUAAAAAUAGGACCUGGGAGUUGGUGACACUACCCAAGGGAAAGAAGGCAAUUGGAUGCAAAUGGGUAUAUGCAAAGAAGGAAGGAUUCCUGGUAAAAAUGAAAUUCGAUACAAGGCUAGAUUGGUAGCAAAGGGUUACGCUCAGAAAGAAUGAAUAGACUAUAAUGAAGUGUUUUCUCCAGUUGUGAAGCAUUCAUCUAUACGGAUUUUGCUAGCCUUGGUUGCGUAAUAUGAUCUCGAACUAGUUCAACUUGAUGUGAAGACUGCGUUUUUACACGGUAAUUUGGAAGAGGAAAUCUAUAUGACUCAGCCAGAUGGAUUCAAUGUUGCUGGAAAAGAAAAUUGGGUUUGCAAACUGACAAAGUCGCUUAAUGGAUUGAAGCAAUCUCCGAGGCAGUGGUACAAGCGAUUUGAUCAGUUCAUGAAAGGGCAAAGGUACACAAGAAGUAAAUUUGAUCAUUGCGUGUAUUUUCAGAAGCUACAAGAAGGAACUUUCAUAUACUUGCUCUUAUAUGUUGAUGAUAUUCUAAUAGCAUCUAAGAGCAAAAUUGAGAUUGAAAGAUUGAAGACUCAACUCAAUCUCGAAUUUGAGAUGAAAGAUCUAGGAGAAGCUAAAAAGAUUCUCGGCAUGGAAAUAUGGAGAGAUAGAGCUCAUGAUAGAGUUAGCUUGUCUCAGAAGCAUUAUUUGAAAAAGGUACUAUAGCAGUUUGGCAUGAACGAACAGACAAAACCUGUAAGUACCCCGUUGGCUUCUCAUUUCAAGCUUUCUGCACAACUAUCUCCUUCGACGAAUACAGAACGAGAAUACAUGUUGCAAGUUUCGUAUUCUAAUGCAGUGGGUAGCUUGAUGUAUGCAAUGGUGUGUACAAGACCCGACAUUUCACAGGCAGUUAGUAUAGUGAGCAGGUAUAUGCAUAAUCCUGGAAAAGGACAUUGGCAAGCUGUGAAAUGGAUUCUACGGUAUAUUCAGAAAAUCGGGGAUGUUGGAUUACUGUUUAAGCAGGAUAAUACACUUGGUAAAGGUGUUAUUGGGUACGUUGAUUCUGACUAUGCCGGUGAUUUGGACAAGCGAAGAUCAACCAUCGGUUAUGUGUUUACACUUGCUGGAGGACCAAUAAGUUGGAAGUCUACACUACAGUCUACAGUUGCGUUGUCAACCACAGAAGCCGAGUACAUGGCUGUAACAGAGGCUGUAAAGGAGGCUAUUUGGUUACAAGGUAUGACUAAAACCUUGGGAUUGGUCCAGGAGCAUAUUAACGUGUAUUGUGAUAGUCAAAGUGCUAUUCAUUUAGCAAAGAAUCAAGUUUAUCACGCACGUACAAAGCAUAUUGACGUGCGUUUCCACUUUGCGCGGGAAAUUAUUGAUGAGGGGAAAAUUUAUCUUCAGAAGAUCAAGACUGCAGAUAAUCCCGCAGAUAUGAUUACCAAGGUGGUAACAGUAACCAAGUUUGAACAUUGUUUGAACUUGAUUAAUAUCUUGCAAGUUUAAUAGUUGAAGAAGGCACUAUCAAGUAUUGUUGUCAAAGGCAGAAAGAAUUGUGUGAAGAUAAGAUUAUCCUAAUCAAAUCUUCAAUGUGGAGAUUAUUGGAACCCACCCAUUGUUUGAAAAGUCAAAAAGGGUGGGCACCGAAAGUAGAAAGUAAGAUUGGUUGGCAAGUUGGGUUAAAAGUUAGCAUGGGAUAAUUGCAAUUUUGGUCCCUAAUUGUAUAGGGACAUUGCAAGUUGAUCCUUAAACCUCAACUAUAAACAGGCCUAACCAUUUCUUACUUUCUUCAUCCCAUAAUUGCCAUUCUCUACUUAAGGCAUUAUUCUCUCUCACUAUUUUUAAAUUUCACUUGUAAUUUUUGGAGUGAAAUAUAUUUGGUAGUGCCCGAGGACGUAGGCAAAAUUUGCUGAACCUCGUUAAAAUUCUGGUGUUCUUUAUUAUUUAUUUUGCAUAUUUUGUGAAUGUGAUUGUAGUGAUUUAUUGUGCUAUUAAAUUACGAUAGAGGGAUAUUCUGGCUAAGAAAGACUUGGUAUUUAAGUGAUCUUCGUGAUCUACCUCUCUUUCCUGGGAAUUGAACUUAGUGUGAUUUUUC
Molecule: long non-coding RNA, 4807 nt
Filed under: Gossypium barbadense (sea-island cotton)
Lineage: Eukaryota; Viridiplantae; Streptophyta; Magnoliopsida; Malvales; Malvaceae
Description: long non-coding RNA (GBAR_LNC006682)
Source: RNAcentral